This 497-nucleotide ribosomal RNA is filed under the name uncultured bacterium. RNAcentral describes it as "partial 16S ribosomal RNA". It matches the Rfam family "Bacterial small subunit ribosomal RNA", at positions 28 to 507 of the family's 1533-position model. The record is from RNAcentral.
GACGAACGCUGGCGGCGUGCCUAAUACAUGCAAGUAGAACGCUGAAGCUUGGUGCUUGCACCGAGCGGAUGAGUUGCGAACGGGUGAGUAACGCGUAGGUAACCUGCCUGGUAGCGGGGGAUAACUAUUGGAAACGAUAGCUAAUACCGCAUAAUAGUAGAUGUUGCAUGACAUUUGCUUAAAAGGUGCAAUUGCAUCACUACCAGAUGGACUUGCGUUGUAUUAGCUAGUUGGUGAGGUAACGGCUCACCAAGGCAACGAUACAUAGCCGACCUGAGAGGGUGAUCGGCCACACUGGGACUGAGACACGGCCCAGACUCCUACGGGAGGCAGCAGUAGGGAAUCUUCGGCAAUGGACGGAAGGCUGACCGAGCAACGCCGCGUGAGUGAAGAAGGGUUUCGGAUCGUAAAGAUCUGUUGUAAGAGAAGAACGAGUGUGAGAGUGGAAAGUUCACACUGUGACGGUAUCUUACCAGAAAGGGACGGCUAACUACGUG